AGUUCAGACCCACGGUCGAAGUUGCAUCCCUAAAGGCAGACUCUCCCACUGGGCUGCCCCCAAUAGCCCGCAGCCAUGAGUUCCGACGCCGAGAUGGCCGUUUUCGGGGAGGCUGCUCCUUACCUCCGGAAGUCUGAAAAGGAGCGAAUCGAGGCUCAGAACAAGCCUUUUGAUGCCAAGUCAUCCGUGUUUGUGGUGGAUGCUAAGGAGUCUUUUGUAAAAGCAACGGUGCAGAGCAGGGAAGGGGGGAAGGUGACAGCCAAGACCGAAGGUGGCGCUACUGUAACAGUAAAAGAUGAUCAAGUCUUCCCCAUGAACCCUCCCAAGUAC
This 330-nucleotide long non-coding RNA is filed under the name Rattus norvegicus (Norway rat). RNAcentral describes it as "long non-coding RNA NONRATT004408". Lineage: Eukaryota; Metazoa; Chordata; Mammalia; Rodentia; Muridae. The record is from RNAcentral.